AUUGAACGCUGGCGGCAUGCCUUACACAUGCAAGUCGAACGGCAGCACGGGAGCAAUCCUGGUGGCGAGUGGCGAACGGGUGAGUAAUAUAUCGGAACGUGCCCAGUCGUGGGGAUAACGUAGCGAAAGCUACGCUAAUACCGCAUACGAUCUAUGGAUGAAAGCGGGGGAUCGCAAGACCUCGCGCGAUUGGAGCGGCCGAUAUCAGAUUAGGUAGUUGGUGAGGUAAAGGCUCACCAAGCCGACGAUCUGUAGCUGGUCUGAGAGGACGACCAGCCACACUGGGACUGAGACACGGCCCAGACUCCUACGGGAGGCAGCAGUGGGGAAUUUUGGACAAUGGNGCAAGCCUGAUCCAGCAAUGCCGCGUGCAGGAUGAAGGCCUU
Molecule: ribosomal RNA, 386 nt
Filed under: uncultured bacterium
Lineage: Bacteria
Description: bacterial SSU rRNA
Rfam family: Bacterial small subunit ribosomal RNA
Source: RNAcentral